AGAGUUUGAUCAUGGCUCAGGACGAACGCUGGCGGCGUGCUUAAUACAUGCAAGUCAAGGGGAAAGCUAUCUUCGGAUGGUGAUUAUACUGGCGGACGGGUGAGUAACGCGUAGGCGACCUGCCUUUAUGUUUGGGAUAACCUCGCGAAAGUGGGGCUAAUACCGGAUGUGGUCUUAAUAAUGCCUGUUAUUAGGAUUAAAGUUGCUUGGGGUGACCUGGGUAACGCAUAGGGAUGGGCCUGCGUUCCAUUAGCUAGUUGGCGAGGUAACGGCUCACCAAGGCGACGAUGGAUAGCUGGUCUGAGAGGACGACCAGCCACACUGGGACUGAGAUACGGCCCAGACUCCUACGGGAGGCAGCAGUAGGGAAUAUUGCGCAAUGCCCGCAAGGGUGACGCAGCGACGCCGCGUGGGUGAAGAAGCUCUACGGAGUGUAAAGCCCUGUCAGAGGGGAAGAACGGCAUUGAUUCGUAAGGGUUAGUGUGUGACGGUACCCUCAGAGGAAGCUCCGGCUAACUCCGUGCCAGCAGCCGCGGUAAUACGGGGGGAGCAAGCGUUGUCCGGAAUCACUGGGCGUAAAGGGCGUGUAGGCGGGUGAUCAAGUCAGAUGUAAAAGGCUACGGCUCAACCGUAGUAUGUCAUCUGAUACUGGUCAUCUUGAGUUCGAGAGAGGGUGGUGGAAUUCCCGGUGUAGCGGUGAAAUGCGUAGAUAUCGGGAAGAACACCUGAAGCGAAGGCGGCCACCUGGCUCGAAACUGACGCUGAGGCGCGAAAGCGUGGGGAGCAAACAGGAUUAGAGACCCUGGUAGUCCACGCUGUAAACGAUGGGCACUAGGUGUUGGUCCCGCUACGGGCGGGAUCGGUGCCGCAGCUAACGCAUUAAGUGCCCCGCCUGGGGAGUACGCUCGCAAGGGUGAAACUCAAAUGAAUUGACGG
This 936-nucleotide ribosomal RNA is filed under the name uncultured bacterium. Its description in RNAcentral is "bacterial SSU rRNA". It matches the Rfam family "Bacterial small subunit ribosomal RNA", at positions 8 to 916 of the family's 1533-position model. The record is from RNAcentral.